Molecule: ribosomal RNA, 645 nt
Filed under: uncultured Candidatus Poseidoniales archaeon
Lineage: Archaea; Methanobacteriati; Thermoplasmatota; Candidatus Poseidoniia; Candidatus Poseidoniales
Description: bacterial SSU rRNA
Rfam family: Archaeal small subunit ribosomal RNA
Source: RNAcentral
UUCUGGUUGAUCCUGCCGGAGGCUACCGCUAUUGGAGUUCGAUUAAGCCAUGCGAGUCGAGAGUCUUAGGGACUCGGCGUACCGCUCAGUAACACGUGGGUAACCUGCCCUAUGCUGGGGAAUAACCUCGGGAAACUGAGAAUAAUACCCCAUAGUUCACCACGCCUGGAACGGUGGGUGGAUGAAAGCUCCGGCGGCAUAGGAUGGGCCUGCGACGUAUCAGGUUGUAGGGGGUGUAACGUACCCUCUAGCCAUCAACGCGUACGGGUGUUGGGAGACAUAGCCCGGAGAUGGAUUCUGAGACACGAAUCCAGACCCUACGGGGUGCAGCAGGCGCGAAAACUUGGCAAUGCGAGCAAUCGUGACCAGGGAACUCCAAGUGGCUGGGGUAAUACCCAGUUUUUUCUUGACUCUUCAAAGGUCUUGGAAUAAGGGGUGGGUAAGGACGGUGCCAGCCGCCGCGGUAAUACCGGCGCCUCAAGUGGUAGUCGCUUUUAUUGGGCCUAAAACGUCCGUAGCCGGUCUGGUGCAUUCGUGGGUAAAUCAACCCGCUCAACGGGUUGAAUUCUGCGAGCACGGCCAGACUUGGGACCGGGAGAGGUGUGGGGUACUCUCAGGGUAGGGGUAAAAUCCUGUCAUCCUGAG